GCCGGGCGAGGUGGCGGGCUCCUGUAAUCCCAGCUACUCGGAGGCUGAGGCAGGAGAAUGGCUUGAACCCGGGAGGCGGAGCUUGCAGUGAGCCGAGAUCGCGCCACUGCGCUCCAGCCUGGGCAACAAAGCCAGACUCCGUCUCAA
Molecule: unclassified non-coding RNA, 147 nt
Organism: Papio anubis (olive baboon)
Lineage: Eukaryota; Metazoa; Chordata; Mammalia; Primates; Cercopithecidae
Rfam family: Metazoan signal recognition particle RNA
About the family: The signal recognition particle (SRP) is a universally conserved ribonucleoprotein. It is involved in the co-translational targeting of proteins to membranes.
Source: Ensembl